GUGCCAGCCGCCGCGGUAAUACGAAGGGGGCUAGCGUUGCUCGGAAUUACUGGGCGUAAAGGGCGCGUAGGCGGAUAGUUUAGUCAGAGGUAAAAGCCCAGGGCUCAACCUUGGAACUGCCUUUGAUACUGGCUAUCUUGAGUUCGGGAGAGGUGAGUGGAAUGCCGAGUGUAGAGGUGAAAUUCGUAGAUAUUCGGCGGAACACCAGUGGCGAAGGCGACUCACUGGCCCGAUACUGACGCUGAGGCGCGAAAGCGUGGGGAGCAAACAGGAUUAGAAACCCUGGUAGUCC
RNAcentral lists this ribosomal RNA (292 nucleotides) under uncultured bacterium. Its description in RNAcentral is "partial 16S ribosomal RNA". It matches the Rfam family "Bacterial small subunit ribosomal RNA", at positions 505 to 796 of the family's 1533-position model. The record is from RNAcentral.